Molecule: small RNA, 427 nt
Filed under: Pongo abelii (Sumatran orangutan)
Lineage: Eukaryota; Metazoa; Chordata; Mammalia; Primates; Hominidae
Description: processed transcript
Source: RNAcentral
CGUCACGGUGUGGGGCUCUCGCUACGUGGUGGGGCAGACCCCGGUCUACGUGCCCUAUGAGAUCCGAGUCCAGGCUGAAAAUGACUUCGGGAAGGGCCCUGAGCCAGAGUCCGUCAUCGGUUACUCCGGAGAAGAUUUGCCCCCAGGCGUUUCCGCGUCCGGCAGCCCAACCUGGAGACAAUCAACCUGGAGUGGGAUCAUCCGGAGCAUCCAAAUGGGAUCAUGAUUGGAUACACUCUCAAAUACGUGGCCUUUAACGGGACCAAAGUAGGAAAGCAGAUAGUGGAAAACUUCUCUCCCAAUCAGACCAAGUUCACGGUGCAAAGAACGGACCCUGUGUCACGCUACCGCUUUACCCUUAGCGCCAGGACACAGGUGGGCUCUGGGGAAGCCGUCACAGAGGAGUCACCAGCACCCCCGAAUGAAG